RNAcentral lists this ribosomal RNA (352 nucleotides) under uncultured bacterium. RNAcentral's name for it is "bacterial SSU rRNA". It matches the Rfam family "Bacterial small subunit ribosomal RNA", at positions 917 to 1271 of the family's 1533-position model. The record is from RNAcentral.
GGGCCCGCACAAGCGGCGGAGCAUGCGGAUUAAUUCGAUGCAACGCGAAGAACCUUACCAAGGCUUGACAUAUAGAGGAAAAGUGCAGAAAUGCACUCCCCGCAAGGUCUCUAUACAGGUGGUGCAUGGUUGUCGUCAGCUCGUGUCGUGAGAUGUUGGGUUAAGUCCCGCAACGAGCGCAACCCUCGUCCUAUGUUGCCAGCACGUAAUGGUGGGAACUCAUGGGAUACUGCCGGGGUCAACUCGGAGGAAGGUGGGGAUGACGUCAAAUCAUCAUGCCCCUUAUGUCUUGGGCUUCACGCAUGCUACAAUGGCCGGUACAGAGGGCUGCAAUACCGCAAGGUGGAGCGAA